Molecule: transfer RNA, 85 nt
Filed under: Methanomicrobiales archaeon
Lineage: Archaea; Methanobacteriati; Methanobacteriota; Methanomicrobia; Methanomicrobiales
Also listed under: 1 other name
Description: tRNA-Leu
Rfam family: tRNA
About the family: Transfer RNA (tRNA) molecules are approximately 80 nucleotides in length. Their secondary structure includes four short double-helical elements and three loops (D, anti-codon, and T loops). Further hydrogen bonds mediate the characteristic L-shaped molecular structure. tRNAs have two regions of fundamental functional importance: the anti-codon, which is responsible for specific mRNA codon recognition, and the 3' end, to which the tRNAs corresponding amino acid is attached (by aminoacyl-tRNA synthetases). tRNAs cope with the degeneracy of the genetic code in two manners: having more than one tRNA (with a specific anti-codon) for a particular amino acid; and 'wobble' base-pairing, i.e. permitting non-standard base-pairing at the 3rd anti-codon position.
Source: RNAcentral
GCGAGGGUUGCCAAGCCAGGUCAAAGGCGCCAGGUUGAGGGCCUGGUCUCGUAGGAGUUCGCCGGUUCGAAUCCGGCCUCUCGCA